Molecule: ribosomal RNA, 253 nt
Filed under: uncultured bacterium
Lineage: Bacteria
Description: partial 16S ribosomal RNA
Rfam family: Bacterial small subunit ribosomal RNA
Source: RNAcentral
UACAGAGGUCUCAAGCGUUGUUCGGAUUCACUGGGUUUAAAGGGUGCGUAGGAGGGCAGGGAAGUCAGUGGUGAAAUCUCCGGGCUUAACUCGGAAACUGCCGUUGAUACUCUCUGUCUUGAAUCCCGUGGAGGUGAGCGGAAUAUGUCAUGUAGCGGUGAAAUGCUUAGAUAUGACAUAGAACACCAAUUGCGAAGGCAGCUCGCUACACGAAGAUUGACUCUGAGGCACGAAAGCGUGGGGAUCAAACAGG